This 468-nucleotide ribosomal RNA is filed under the name uncultured bacterium. RNAcentral's name for it is "partial 16S ribosomal RNA". It matches the Rfam family "Bacterial small subunit ribosomal RNA", at positions 28 to 507 of the family's 1533-position model. The record is from RNAcentral.
GACGAACGCUGGCGGCGUGCUUAACACAUGCAAGUCGAACGGAAAGGCCCUGCUUUUGUGGGGUGCUCGAGUGGCGAACGGGUGAGUAACACGUGAGUAACCUGCCCUUGACUUUGGGAUAACUUCAGGAAACUGGGGCUCAUACCGGAUAGGAGCUCCUGCUGCAUGGUGGGGGUUGGAAAGUUUCGGCGGUUGGGGAUGGACUCGCGGCUUAUCAGCUUGUUGGUGGGGUAGUGGCUUACCAAGGCUUUGACGGGUAGCCGGCCUGAGAGGGUGACCGGCCACCUUGGGACUGAGAUACGGCCCAGACUCCUACGGGAGGCAGCAGUGGGGAAUAUUACACAAUGGGCGGAAGCCUGAUGCAGCAGCGCCGCGUGCGGGAUGACGGCCUUCGGGUUGUAAACCGCUUUCGCCUGUGACGAAGCGUGAGUGACGGUAAUGGGUAAAGAAGCACCGGCUAACUACGUG